UUUGACGUUAGCUGCAGAAGAAGCACCGGCUAACUCCGUGCCAGCAGCCGCGGUAAUACGGAGGGUGCGAGCGUUAAUCGGAAUUACUGGGCGUAAAGCGCAUGCAGGUGGUUUGUUUAAGUCAGAUGUGAAAGACCCGGGGCGUCAACCUCGGAAUUGCAUUUGAAACUAGGCAGACUAGAGUACUGUAGAGGGGGGUAGGAAGUUUCAGGUGUAGCGGUGAAAUGCGUAGAGAUCUGAAGGAAUACCGGUGGCGAAGGCGGCCCCCUCGGACAGAUACUGACACUCAGAUGCGAAAGCGUGGGGAGCAAACAGGAUUAGAUACCCUGGUAG
RNAcentral lists this ribosomal RNA (333 nucleotides) under uncultured bacterium. Its description in RNAcentral is "bacterial SSU rRNA". It matches the Rfam family "Bacterial small subunit ribosomal RNA", at positions 468 to 793 of the family's 1533-position model. The record is from RNAcentral.